AGAGUUUGAUCCUGGCUCAGGACGAACGCUGGCGGCGUGCCUAAAACAUGCAAGUCGAACGGGGGUAGCAAUACCCCAGUGGCGAACGGCGGAGUAAUACAUAAGCAACGUGCCCCAAAGUCUGGGAUAUACGGCCGAAAGGCCGAGCAAUACCGGAUGUGUCGGAGAAGUGGCAUCACUUUUCCAAUAAAUGGUUUUUCGCUUUGGGAGCGGCUUAUGGCCUAUCAGGUAGUUGGGGGGGUAACGGCCCACCAAGCCGACGACGGGUAGCGGGUCUGAGAGGAUGGUCCGCUCGAGUGGGACUGAGACACGGCCCACACACCUACGGGUGGCAGCAGUUGGGAAUCUUGCACAAUGGGGGAAACCCUGAUGCAGCGACGCCGCGUGGAGGAUGAAGGGUUUAGGCCUGUAAACUCCUUUUUUCGGGAAAGACUUAGGACGGUACCCGAAGAAUAAGGACCGGCUAACUACGUGCCAGCAGCCGCGGUAAGACGUAGGGUCCAAGCGUUGUCCGGAUUUACUGGGCGUAAAGAGCGCGUAGGCGGCUCGUUAAGUGUAAAGUGAAAUCUCUGGGCUCACCCCAGAAACUGCUCUGCAUACUGGCGAGCUAGAGGGUCGAAGAGGUAUGUGGAAUUCCCGGUGUAGCGGUGAAAUGCGUUGAUAUCGGGAGGAACACCCAUGGCGAAGGCAGCAUACUGGUCGGCAUCUGACGCUGAGGCGCGAAAGCGUGGGUAGCAAACAGGAUUAGAU
This 750-nucleotide ribosomal RNA is filed under the name uncultured Rhizobium sp. Its description in RNAcentral is "bacterial SSU rRNA". It matches the Rfam family "Bacterial small subunit ribosomal RNA", at positions 8 to 783 of the family's 1533-position model. Lineage: Bacteria; Pseudomonadati; Pseudomonadota; Alphaproteobacteria; Hyphomicrobiales; Rhizobiaceae. The record is from RNAcentral.